GGGACAGAACCCCCCUUCCCCCCGGGGGCGCUGCUGAGCCCGCCACCCUGCUGGACAUCCCUCAGGGCAUCAGGAGUCUGUUCCAUUCCUCCAGCUACUGGUUGGCUUCUCUGAGCCUGCUUUUGGCACAGAAUUAACGGGGAAAAAACAACAACAACAAGGAAAACAAAUAAGAGCUCUGUGUCUUCCUGCCUCUGCACAUCAACAGCCCUAAGUUUUGAUUCAGAAGAAAGACAUCCAGGCUUCCGGGCCGGGGACUCCAGCUCAGAGCCUAACGCAGAGGACGUCUCCAGUGACUCAUUACUGGAAUAAAUGUUGCUAAUGUAAAAGGUAUGCAAAUAGAGCUUAAACGCUUAAACGGGUGAAGGAAGACGCUGCAAUCCGAUAAAUAACAUCCAGAAUGUUACUGUGGUUACGGUGGACUCUAUUUGCAUACAGGCUUAUCUUGUUUUUAAAGCAGGAGGGGGGGGGGGGAGAAAAAUCCCAACUUUCGCCUCCUGUUCUCAAAGUCCAAUCUCUGAAGAAGGCCUGGCCUUUCAAGCCAUGUUAACCAGCAAGAAGUGCUUUGUGUGGCAGAAUCCAAAACACAUCCAACACAUUUGCUAGUAUGUAGAAUGCAAACACGGGCUAGCCUCAGGUCAUCUUACUGAGAGAAUUGCACAAUCAAACUUUUUGUCAUCCAGGGUGGUGUGCUGGGUCAGGACUGAUCUGUCACUACCCCGGUUUCAGGAGUGGCCCUGCCCAGUGGCUGGACUCAUCACUAGUGGGUCCCUGGCUCCUCUUCCAACUCAGACUGAGAGAGAAUGAAAUAGAGAGAGAGAGAGAGAGAGAGAGAGAGAGAGAGAGAGACGCCCCAUAGUAGAUCCUGAGCUCUAUCUCAAAUUACAGAUCUUGCAGCGCCGAGAGUCCUGUGAAUGAAAGCCAGGAUGACUCGUCAUUUGGGAAGGAGAGCUCACACUGCAAAGAAAGAUCAAUGUGGGAAGAGUCCAGAGAAUUCAUGAAAUACACUCAAAACCAUUCAAAUGCUAUAAAGAUUCGUUUCAUAAGUAUUUUCAGUGUUUUCUUUUAUAUGGGUAUUUAAUCUAAUUUUGGGGCCAUUUGUCAAGAUGAAGCAGGCUUCCUAUUUAGAGUUCCUGUGCACCGCCCCCAUCCUGG
Molecule: long non-coding RNA, 1155 nt
Organism: Myotis davidii
Lineage: Eukaryota; Metazoa; Chordata; Mammalia; Chiroptera; Vespertilionidae
Exons: 3
Source: RefSeq, a predicted model, not a curated record